CUUGCAAUUUUUUCAUCAUUUUGCUCAAAACUUGCUUACAGGAGGCCCAUGACAAGUCAAGAUCUGUGACCAAGGCUCCUGCCAUGAAGGGUUAGUAUAAUUCUAGUCUAUUUUCUUAGUUUCUUCCUAUAACAAUAACCUACAUAUCAAUAUAUACCUGCAAAUCUAUAAGAUAUAUUUUUCAAGGGAUCCACACAAUAGAAGAUAGAAAAGGAAUUGAGGGUUAAGAUAAUAAUACCUACUUCAAAAGAAGAUGAUUUUGUUAGUAAGUUCUUCUGUUCCUGGCUGUACCUAAGUUACUGCCUAACUUGUAUGGAUCAAAUUGAAAUGUUUAUUUUCUAUUAUGCUUUCAUUUUAACUUUGAUAUGGUUAUGUCAUAGCUGAUUUAAUAUAAUUCAUUCAUAAUAUAAUAUAUUCAGUUCAUGAGUGUUUCUUAACUCUAUAUAUGUAGCACUUGAUUGAUUGAGAGACCAGCACAUAGUAAUUAUAUGUGCAGGAAUCUUUCAUUGGCUCAGUUGGUGGAUUUUCAUUUAAGUAGAGCCUCUUCCCUCUUACCAGCUUGACUCCUUACUACUGUGCCAUAAGGAAAUCCAAUAUCUAAAUGAUUUGUUGUAAUGGUCUUUUACAGCCAUUGAGGGCACUUCUGUUGAUAGUGUGAAUUCAGCUGUAGAAAAGAUAUAGGCUAUAAUUGGUAGCUAUUUACAUAAUCAAUAUAAAAUAUAGUUAUUUUUAUUGAUAUAAUAUAAUAUAAUUAGAUGCAUAUAUAAAAUUAUUUUAUAUAACUAAUAAUCAUCACUUAAAUUUAUUAAUUAAGUAUAUUUGUGUUUCGAAAUAAUAAUGCAAUUGUAUUAUAGGAAGUGCAAGGGUGGGACGGAUUGUUAUGAGUGCAGCAGCAGAGCAUCUGACACCUGUGAGUUUGGAGUUAGGAGGAAAGUGUCCAGCAUUGCUUUAUUAAACAAGACACAAAAAGAUCUGAAAAGGGAAAAAGAAUUUUUGUUUUCUUAUUAGUUUUGUUAAUUAACUUGAUUUGAUAUUUAUUGCUAUUAUAAUAGUGUUUGUCAUGUCGUAUUUCUUAAAUAGAUUAAAAUGUGUAGCUUUAAGACAUUUUUUUAUUUCUAGAAUAGAAACUGUUAUAUAUACCUUUUAAACAUUAAAACCUAGGGGAUCGGAGUUGCUAAAUAUUGGCUUCCUCUUCAACUUCUCACUUGCAGAAUUAUAGAAGGGUCAAUCAGUUCACAGCUUUAAUUUUUGUCAAACACUAAACAAAGAUUAGGUGUAGUGGAUUUUUAGGUGUUGAUUAGAUUAGGUUUAGUUAGAUUUGUUUUUUUCUGAUUUUAGUAAUUAGUUUGAUUUAAAAUUUGUUGUUGAAACUUUUUUCCUCAUGGUUUUUCAAUUUUUGGUGUUUUCUUUCACUGCACUAUCUUUUUUCUUUUGCUGCUGCUUCUUGCUGCAGUGUAAUAGUGAUCUUUCUACUUGGAGCUACAUCAAUGAUCAUGUUCAUUUUCAAUUUCAUAUAGGACAGUAAGUUUGACUUGCUUCAGUAAUAGCAUAUUCUGGUUGUUUAAUAAUGUAGAACAUAUGCAUCUAGAUUCUUUAAACUUUCUUACUUUUCAUUGUUAUAGGUGGUAUGCUUCACUUGGGAUGUAUGAUGUGGCUGUCAAGCAUAUGAUGAAAAUCUUGGCCUGCAGUCACCAGUCCAAGGCAACACAGGAAUUAUUCCUUAGUGACUUUCUUC
RNAcentral lists this long non-coding RNA (1735 nucleotides) under Arachis ipaensis. Its description in RNAcentral is "long non-coding RNA (AIPA_LNC000352)". The record is from RNAcentral. Lineage: Eukaryota; Viridiplantae; Streptophyta; Magnoliopsida; Fabales; Fabaceae.